RNAcentral lists this ribosomal RNA (427 nucleotides) under uncultured bacterium. RNAcentral describes it as "partial 16S ribosomal RNA". It matches the Rfam family "Bacterial small subunit ribosomal RNA", at positions 354 to 796 of the family's 1533-position model. The record is from RNAcentral.
GUGAGGAAUCUUCCACAAUGGGCGAAAGCCUGAUGGAGCAACGCCGCGUGAAGGAUGAAGGUCUUCGGAUUGUAAACUUCUUUUAUGAGUGAAGAAUAUGACGGUAACUCAUGAAUAAGCACCGGCUAACUACGUGCCAGCAGCCGCGGUCAUACGUAGGGUGCAAGCAUUAUCCGGAGUGACUGGGCGUAAAGAGUUGCGUAGGCGGUUAUGUAAGCGAAUAGUGAAACCUGGUGUCUCAACAACACAGACUAUUAUUCGAACUGCAUAACUCGAGAAUGGUAGAGGUAACUGGAAUUUCUUGUGUAGGAGUGAAAUCCGUAGAUAUAAGAAGGAACACCAAUGGCGUAGGCAGGUUACUGGGCCAUUUCUGACGCUAAGGCACGAAAGCGUGGGGAGCGAACCGGAUUAGAUACCCCGGUAGUCC